CCCUGUGACAUACCAAUUGUUGCCUCGGCGGAUCAGCCCGCUCCCGGUAAAACGGGACGGCCCGCCAGAGGACCCCUAAACUCUGUUUCUAUAUGUAACUUCUGAGUAAAACCAUAAAUAAAUCAAAACUUUCAACAACGGAUCUCUUGGUUCUGGCAUCGAUGAAGAACGCAGCAAAAUGCGAUAAGUAAUGUGAAUUGCAGAAUUCAGUGAAUCAUCGAAUCUUUGAACGCACAUUGCGCCCGCCAGUAUUCUGGCGGGCAUGCCUGUUCGAGCGUCAUUUCAACCCUCAAGCCCCCGGGUUUGGUGUUGGGGAUCGGCGAGCCCUUGCGGCAAGCCGGCCCCGAAAUCUAGUGGCGGUCUCGCUGCAGCUUCCAUUGCGUAGUAGUAAAACCCUCGCAACUGGUACGCGGCGCGGCCAAGCCGUUAAACCCCCAACUUCUGAAUGUUGACCUCGGAUCAGGUAGGAAUACCCGCUGAACUUAAGCAUA
Molecule: ribosomal RNA, 491 nt
Filed under: Fusarium proliferatum
Lineage: Eukaryota; Fungi; Ascomycota; Sordariomycetes; Hypocreales; Nectriaceae
Description: eukaryotic LSU rRNA
Rfam family: 5.8S ribosomal RNA (bases 127-280)
Source: RNAcentral